CCCUUAGAUGUCCUGGGCCGCACGCGUGCUACACUGAUGCAUACAGCGAGUACUUUCCAGCUCCGCGAGGCAGCUGGUAAUCAGCAAUAUGCAUCGUGCUGGGGAUAGAUCUUUGGAAUUAUAGAUCUUGAACGAGGAAUUCCUAGUAAGCGCAAGUCAUUAGCUUGCGCUGAUUAAGUCCCUGCCCUUUGUACACACCGCCCGUCGCUACUACCGAUUGGAUGGUUUAGCGAGAACUUUGGACCGGAGCUCGGGUGGUCAGCAAUGGCCGCCCGAGACAUACUGGGAAAUCGCUCCAGCUUGAUCAUCUAGAGGAAGUAAAAGUCGUAACA
RNAcentral lists this ribosomal RNA (332 nucleotides) under uncultured eukaryote. RNAcentral's name for it is "partial 18S ribosomal RNA". It matches the Rfam family "Eukaryotic small subunit ribosomal RNA", at positions 1470 to 1796 of the family's 1831-position model. The record is from RNAcentral.